UCUCUCUCUCUCUCUCUCUACCUUCAAAUCUUCAAGACUUGUUCUUCAUUCAAAGCUUUGAAGGUGAUCCAUGGAGGUUGCAAGUUGAAGGGCAUUCAAAGGAGCUUUGUUCUAGUCUUGUUCAUCAUCUUUCUCACCAUCAUCUUCACUAGAAUUUCUACCCUAGCUUUGUGCUAGUACUCAAGCUGCAUUUUUAUGGCAGAAAAAGUGUUGUCGUGUAGCGGACAGGGUUUGAGAUUCGAUUCAAGACGCACUACUGUGAGUACAUAG
Molecule: long non-coding RNA, 270 nt
Filed under: Helianthus annuus (common sunflower)
Lineage: Eukaryota; Viridiplantae; Streptophyta; Magnoliopsida; Asterales; Asteraceae
Description: hypothetical non coding rna
Source: RNAcentral